RNAcentral lists this unclassified non-coding RNA (240 nucleotides) under soil metagenome. RNAcentral's name for it is "partial contains 5.8S ribosomal RNA, internal transcribed spacer 2, and large subunit ribosomal RNA". The record is from RNAcentral.
AACACUGUUAACCUGCGGUACCUGCGGAGGGAUCAUUACAGAGUUGCAAAACUCCCCAAACCAUUGUGAACGUUACCUAAACCGUUGCUUCGGCGGGCGGCCCGGGUCCUUCCCGGCGCCCAUCGGCCCUCGCGGGCGCCCGCCGGAGGUAAACCAAACUAUUGCAUUGUAUGGCCUCUCUGAGUCUUCUGUACUGAAUAAGUCAAAACUUUCAACAAUGGAUCUCAGAUCGGAAGAGCA